This 472-nucleotide ribosomal RNA is filed under the name uncultured bacterium. RNAcentral's name for it is "partial 16S ribosomal RNA". It matches the Rfam family "Bacterial small subunit ribosomal RNA", at positions 28 to 507 of the family's 1533-position model. The record is from RNAcentral.
GACGAACGCUGGCGGCGUGCUUAACACAUGCAAGUCGAACGCUGAAGCUUGGUGCUUGCACUGGGUGGAUGAGUGGCGAACGGGUGAGUAAUACGUGAGUAACCUGCCCUUGACUCUGGGAUAAGCCUGGGAAACUGGGUCUAAUACUGGAUACGACAUGUCACCGCAUGGUGGUGUGUGGAAAGGGUUUUACUGGUUUUGGAUGGGCUCACGGCCUAUCAGCUUGUUGGUGGGGUAAUGGCUCACCAAGGCGACGACGGGUAGCCGGCCUGAGAGGGUGACCGGCCACACUGGGACUGAGACACGGCCCAGACUCCUACGGGAGGCAGCAGUGGGGAAUAUUGCACAAUGGGCGGAAGCCUGAUGCAGCGACGCCGCGUGAGGGAUGACGGCCUUCGGUUUGUAAACCUCUUUCAGCACGGAAGAAGCGAAAGUGACGGUACGUGCAGAAGAAGCGCCGGCUAACUACGUG